Molecule: long non-coding RNA, 2073 nt
Organism: Pieris napi
Lineage: Eukaryota; Metazoa; Arthropoda; Insecta; Lepidoptera; Pieridae
Exons: 2
Source: RefSeq, a predicted model, not a curated record
CUAUCAAAAUUUGGCCGCCAUUAUUUUUUGGUAAAAAACAACAGAUGCAGCAUUUUUAUUCUAACAUAAAAACCACGCUUAACAGGGUCUUACUGUACAGAUGAAAAGAAAAGCACAGUUACAACAAACAAAACAUAAAUUUAAAAUAAUUUAACACCCUUAAUUAUAAUCACACUAUGAAAUGUUUUAUCCUCAUAAUUUAUCAUUAAUUUUACGACCAACGACUAGUACUAGAUAACGUAGUUAUAUAUUAAAAGUACUCUUGAAAGGUACAUUUUAAUUUAGUUCGCUAGUAAAUUCGUUUGUUUGUAUACUUGUGGCUUGUUAACUCGUAAAGCAAAGUUUGAUGACCUUUCGUGGCUGCUAAAUUUACAAAUGCACUCGAAAUGUAACCAAUCUAAAUGGUGCUUGCUUCAACUCAAAAGUUGAAUAUGUCGGAUUAUAAAUGAAGAACGUUCCUGCGUAUUGCUUUAACAGAUUAUAAAAGAUUUGAAUUUGUUCAUAAUUAAGUAAACUUCGCAAAUGUUAAGAUUAUUCCAUUUUUGUUGAUCAUCGAUAUAAAAGGACUGUAUAAGACGUAAUCUCCUACUAGAAGUACUAUCUGCAGCCAACUUGCAACCUGUGGUCAUACUAGAUAUAAAAACCUGAGAUGAAAGAUAAGACGGAAGGCGGACGACGGAAUGUUAUAUUUUAGCCUUCGGUCAAGUAAGUUAUUUCAACAUGAAUAACAUUUUAAUAUAUUUGAUUACUUUAUUAUUGGUAGAAAUAAAAUACUUUACUUGUGGCCCCAUCAAGGAGACUACUUUGCAUAAUUCGGGAAUGGAUGUGAUUGUAAAGAUUGUUGAUGAACAAAACCUUACAUCGGCGCUUAAUGGCGAUAAUAUACCAAUUUUCAAUGUUAACUUUGGAAACACAAGUGAUGAUAAUAUAUCACAAGAGAAUGGAGUAACAAUUGAGAACAAUCUUCAGAAUUCCUUCUUUCCGAUGCUAAAUAAUGAAACUGUACAAAAUGUUAUAGUGGGUUCAGAUUUUUUACAAACCGACGAUCCUUUACUGGAAACAUCAACUGAAGUGAAUAGUUCGAUAAAAUAUGAAGAUGGAGUACCUAGAGCCAGUUUUGAAGUUGGUUGUAUUCAGGGUUACGCAAAAGCAGCUGAUGGUUCGUGCCAAGAGGUUUUAUAUGACUAAAUACAUAUCACUAUUAACCCAGAUAUACUUAAACGAUAACAAAUACGAAAUAAUUAACAAGAUUAUCAGUAUAAGUUUACACACGAAGAAAGGAAGUAAUGUUUACAAUGAGGACAGUGAUUUUAGUAUUGUUAUUUGUAGCGGUACUGCGAGUAGAGAGUGGAUUUUUAGAAGAUUUUUUAUCAAAACCAAUCAAUAAAUUCUAUAAUAUGACAGAGAAGAUUCAUAAAGCUAAAUUAGAUGCAAUAUCAAGACUUGACGAAAAAUUAGGAAGAGCCACAAGUCAUAUAACCAAUUAUUUUGACGGACAUUCAAACACAAUCAAAGACAAAAAGGAAGAACAGGGCGGUGAUGUAAAUAAUUCCGAGAAAAUUGUGAUGGAGGAUCCAGUUCCGUCUUUGGAUGUAAACUGUCCAGAAGGUUCACCUGGAGCAUUGAAUGGGUCCUGUUUACCAGACGUUUAUGUGCGGUUUAAUGAUGACAUUGGAGAUAAAGAAUAAGUUUAAUAUGUUUUACAUGUUAACCAUAGAAUGUUGGGACAGUAUGUAACCUUAUCAGCUUAUCUACCUAAUAAAAUUCGCGUACGUAUUUAGUCUUUUCAAAAUUUAAAAUAUAGGAUUUAAAAACAAAGCUUAUUUAAGGUCCGAUAACUCACGGUAAUGAGCCAUAGGGCAAUUGUUUCAUUCGUAAAAUGUUCUGUAUCAUUCUGUGUUUAUAUAUAAUAUGUAUGUGUAAUCUUGAAGACACAUAUGUGUGCUAUUUUUUAAAUUCCUAUACUUCUAUUAAUCAUUCAUUGUUGUAGUUUCUGUGUAUUAUUUUAUCUCAUUUUCUUUUUUUGUGUUGUGUAACUAUUAAUAUUUGCAAAUAAAAUUAAUUAUACAUAAA